This 274-nucleotide ribosomal RNA is filed under the name uncultured bacterium. RNAcentral's name for it is "partial 16S ribosomal RNA". It matches the Rfam family "Archaeal small subunit ribosomal RNA", at positions 473 to 747 of the family's 1478-position model. The record is from RNAcentral.
AAACCAGCACCUCAAGUGGUCAGGAGGAUUAUUGGGCCUAAAGCAUCCGUAGCCUGUUCUAUAAGUUUCCGGUUAAAUCCACUAGCUCAACAUACAGGCCGCCGGGAAUACUGCAGAGCUAGGGAGUGGGAGAGGUCAGCGGUAUUCCUGGGGUAGGGGCGAAAUCCAUUGAUCCCAGGAGGACCACCAGUGGCGAAGGCUGCUGUCCAGAACACGCCUGACGGUCAGGGACGAAAGCUGGGGUAGCGAAUCGGAUUAGAUACCCGAGUAGUCC